Molecule: ribosomal RNA, 253 nt
Filed under: uncultured bacterium
Lineage: Bacteria
Description: partial 16S ribosomal RNA
Rfam family: Bacterial small subunit ribosomal RNA
Source: RNAcentral
GACGAACCGUGCGAACGUUAUUCGGAAUCACUGGGCUUAAAGGGUGCGUAGGCGGCUUGUCAAGUCGGGUGUGAAAGCCCCCGGCUUAACCGGGGAAUUGCGCCCUAAACUGACGAGCUGGAGUGGGACAGGGGUGUGUGGAACUUCCGGUGGAGCGGUGAAAUGUGUUGAUAUCGGAAGGAACGCCGGUGGCGAAAGCGACACACUGGGUCUCAACUGACGCUGAGGCACGAAAGCCAGGGGAGCGAACGGG